ACAAGACACGACUCUGAUUAGGGUAAUAACAGAAAUCAGACUGGAGACCUCACUGGGGAGUGAAGGACUCACACUGGGGAAAAGAAGAUUCCAAAGGAAAAACAUCCAUUGGAGAGACACAAGCUGACUCCUGGGAAGAAGCAAUAGGAAACUCCACUGAGGAAGCACCAAAGAAUGAGGCGUUACCGGUAUAAGGGUAACAAACUCAGGAAGAAUGAAUAUCUAAGACCGGUAUAAGGGUGAGAGAUAUCAAUCAACCAAAC
Molecule: long non-coding RNA, 263 nt
Filed under: Lathyrus oleraceus (garden pea)
Lineage: Eukaryota; Viridiplantae; Streptophyta; Magnoliopsida; Fabales; Fabaceae
Description: Pisum sativum (pea) long non-coding RNA (PSAT_LNC030437)
Source: RNAcentral